This 161-nucleotide ribosomal RNA is filed under the name Rytigynia uhligii. RNAcentral's name for it is "5.8S ribosomal RNA". It matches the Rfam family "5.8S ribosomal RNA". Rfam says of the family: 5.8S ribosomal RNA (5.8S rRNA) is a component of the large subunit of the eukaryotic ribosome. It is transcribed by RNA polymerase I as part of the 45S precursor that also contains 18S and 28S rRNA. Functionally, it is thought that 5.8S rRNA may be involved in ribosome translocation. Lineage: Eukaryota; Viridiplantae; Streptophyta; Magnoliopsida; Gentianales; Rubiaceae. The record is from RNAcentral.
ACGACUCUCGGCAACGGAUAUCUCGGCUCUCGCAUCGAUGAAGAACGUAGCGAAAUGCGAUACUUGGUGUGAAUUGCAGAAUCCCGCGAACCAUCGAGUCUUUGAACGCAAGUUGCGCCCGAAGCCGUUCGGCCGAGGGCACGUCUGCCUGGGCGUCACGC